Molecule: ribosomal RNA, 1370 nt
Filed under: uncultured Lachnospiraceae bacterium
Lineage: Bacteria; Bacillati; Bacillota; Clostridia; Lachnospirales; Lachnospiraceae
Description: bacterial SSU rRNA
Rfam family: Bacterial small subunit ribosomal RNA
Source: RNAcentral
AUGAACGCUGGCGGCGUGCCUAACACAUGCAAGUCGAACGGUGUUUUGAGGAAGUUUUCGGACAGAGACAAAACAUAGUGGCGGACGGGUGAGUAACGCGUGGAUAACCUGCCUCUUACUGGGGGAUAGCAGCUGGAAACGGCUGGUAAUACCGCAUACGCUUUUUUCUUUGCAUGAAGAGGAAAGGAAAGAUUUAUCGGUGAGAGAUGGAUCCGCGUCUGAUUAGCUAGUUGGUGGGGUAAAGGCCCACCAAGGCGACGAUCAGUAGCCGGCCUGAGAGGGCGGACGGCCACAUUGGGACUGAGACACGGCCCAAACUCCUACGGGAGGCAGCAGUGGGGGAUAUUGCACAAUGGGCGAAAGCCUGAUGCAGCGACGCCGCGUGAGUGAAGAAGUAUUUCGGUAUGUAAAGCUCUAUCAGCAGGGAAGAAAGGCUCGAAAGAGAGAUGACGGUACCUGACUAAGAAGCCCCGGCUAACUACGUGCCAGCAGCCGCGGUAAUACGUAGGGGGCAAGCGUUAUCCGGAUUUACUGGGUGUAAAGGGAGCGCAGACGGCAGUGCAAGUCUGAUGUGAAAACCCGGGGCUCAACCCCGGGACUGCAUUGGAAACUGUGCAGCUAGAGUGUCGGAGAGGUAAGCGGAAUUCCUGGUGUAGCGGUGAAAUGCGUAGAUAUCAGGAGGAACACCGGCGGCGAAGGCGGCUUACUGGACGAUGACUGACGUUGAGGCUCGAAAGCGUGGGGAGCAAACAGGAUUAGAUACCCUGGUAGUCCACGCUGUAAACGAUGAAUACUAGGUGUGGGCAAGCAUAGCUUGUCCGUGCCGCAGCUAACGCAAUAAGUAUUCCACCUGGGGAGUACGUUCGCAAGAAUGAAACUCAAAGGAAUUGACGGGGACCCGCACAAGCGGUGGAGCAUGUGGUUUAAUUCGAAGCAACGCGAAGAACCUUACCAGGCCUUGACAUCCCGUGGAAUAAGUCGUAACGGACUUAGCUCUUUGGAGUCACGGAGACAGGUGGUGCAUGGUUGUCGUCAGCUCGUGUCGUGAGAUGUUGGGUCAAGUCCCGCAACGAGCGCAACCCUUGUGUAUAGUAGCCAGCACAUCAUGGUGGGCACUCUAUACAGACUGCCGGGGAUAACCCGGAGGAAGGUGGGGAUGACGUCAAAUCAUCAUGCCCCUUACGGUCUGGGCUACACACGUGCUACAAUGGCGUAACAAAGAGAAGCGAACCCGCGAGGGGGAGCAAACCUCAAAAAUAGCAUCCCAGUUCGGACUGUAGUCUGCAACUCGACUACACGAAGCCGGAAUCGCUAGUAAUCGCAGAUCAGAAUGCUGCGGUGAAUACGUUCCCGGGUCUUGUACACACCGC